Molecule: unclassified non-coding RNA, 554 nt
Filed under: Alternaria compacta
Lineage: Eukaryota; Fungi; Ascomycota; Dothideomycetes; Pleosporales; Pleosporaceae
Description: contains 18S rRNA gene, ITS1, 5.8S rRNA gene, ITS2 and 28S rRNA gene
Rfam family: 5.8S ribosomal RNA (bases 171-324)
Source: RNAcentral
CAUUACACAAAUAUGAAGGCGGGCUGGAACCUCUCGGGGUUACAGCCUUGCUGAAUUAUUCACCCUUGUCUUUUGCGUACUUCUUGUUUCCUUGGUGGGUUCGCCCACCACUAGGACAAACAUAAACCUUUUGUAAUUGCAAUCAGCGUCAGUAACAAAUUAAUAAUUACAACUUUCAACAACGGAUCUCUUGGUUCUGGCAUCGAUGAAGAACGCAGCGAAAUGCGAUAAGUAGUGUGAAUUGCAGAAUUCAGUGAAUCAUCGAAUCUUUGAACGCACAUUGCGCCCUUUGGUAUUCCAAAGGGCAUGCCUGUUCGAGCGUCAUUUGUACCCUCAAGCUUUGCUUGGUGUUGGGCGUCUUGUCUCUAGCUUUGCUGGAGACUCGCCUUAAAGUAAUUGGCAGCCGGCCUACUGGUUUCGGAGCGCAGCACAAGUCGCACUCUCUAUCAGCAAAGGUCUAGCAUCCAUUAAGCCUUUUUUUCAACUUUUGACCUCGGAUCAGGUAGGGAUACCCGCUGAACUUAAGCAUAUCAAUAAGCGGAGGAAAAAAAAAC